AGGACUAGAAGAAAUGUCCAAAUAUUCAAAAAUGUUCAUCCACUGCUAAAAUCUCACUGUAAAACCUUUCUAGAGUCCAUUUCAAGAAAAUCUCCGUUCGAUCUCCAACUACGAACUUGAGGACAUAUGAUAAAAUCCAAAAAGGUAACCA
Long non-coding RNA from Telopea speciosissima, 151 nucleotides. RefSeq lists it as uncharacterized. The record is from RefSeq and is a predicted model, not a curated record. NCBI's taxonomy places the organism in Eukaryota, Viridiplantae, Streptophyta, Magnoliopsida, Proteales, Proteaceae. The transcript has 3 exons.